UACGUAGGGGGCGAGCGUUAUCCGGAUUCACUGGGUGUAAAGGGAGCGUAGGCGGUGCAGCAAGUCAGAAGUGAAAGCCCGGGGCUCAACUCCGGGACUGCUUUUGAAACUGUUGAACUAGAUUGCAGGAGAGGUAAGUGGAAUUCCUAGUGUAGCGGUGAAAUGCGUAGAUAUUAGGAGGAACACCAGUGGCGAAGGCGGCUUACUGGACUGUAAAUGACGCUGAGGCUCGAAAGCGUGGGGAGCAAACAGG
Molecule: ribosomal RNA, 253 nt
Filed under: uncultured bacterium
Lineage: Bacteria
Description: partial 16S ribosomal RNA
Rfam family: Bacterial small subunit ribosomal RNA
Source: RNAcentral